This 278-nucleotide long non-coding RNA is filed under the name Helianthus annuus (common sunflower). RNAcentral describes it as "hypothetical non coding rna". The record is from RNAcentral. Lineage: Eukaryota; Viridiplantae; Streptophyta; Magnoliopsida; Asterales; Asteraceae.
GUAAAAUGAUAACAACCCCUGCACAAAGAUCAUCAAAGGUUAAAGUGAGUGAUCAACAAGACAUCAACAUACGGCAACGUAUAACGUAGGAACACGGCUUAUGAGGAAAAUGACAUAAUUGCCCCUAAGCUUGAAUCUGAAUCUAAAUGAAAACCGAUAUUUUAGCCAGGAAUAAUGCAAUGUAGGCCUAAAACACAUGAUGUUACACCGUCCCCCAAUCAUACUACUUUUUUUAAUUGACUCAAUGUGUGUAUUUCUUUUAAUAUUUUUAUUACUGU